CAGUUUGAUUCCCAGUCAGGGCACAUGCCUGGGUUGUGGGUUUAGUCUCCAGUCAGGGUGUAGGAGAAGCAACCAACUAAUGUGUCUCUCUUACAUUGAUGUGUCUCUCCCUCUUUCUCCCUCCCUUCCUUUCU
This is a long non-coding RNA of Phyllostomus discolor (pale spear-nosed bat), 134 nucleotides long. RefSeq lists it as uncharacterized. The transcript has 2 exons. Lineage: Eukaryota; Metazoa; Chordata; Mammalia; Chiroptera; Phyllostomidae. The record is from RefSeq and is a predicted model, not a curated record.